AGUUAGUGUUACAAUUGUAACAAC
RNAcentral lists this non-coding RNA (24 nucleotides) under Arabidopsis thaliana (thale cress). Lineage: Eukaryota; Viridiplantae; Streptophyta; Magnoliopsida; Brassicales; Brassicaceae. The record is from RNAcentral.